Molecule: long non-coding RNA, 872 nt
Organism: Vigna radiata var. radiata (mung bean)
Lineage: Eukaryota; Viridiplantae; Streptophyta; Magnoliopsida; Fabales; Fabaceae
Exons: 2
Source: RefSeq, a predicted model, not a curated record
AGUGUAGAGUUUGGAGAAAUUCAUCAAAUUCUAAAAUUCAAUGUUGAUGUACCAGACAACAUUCAGCUAGCAGAAAGCAGUACCAUAGUACUACAAACUAAAACACAGCAGUACAAUUGACACAUGAACGUUUUGUGCUACCUAGUACCAGUACUCAUCACACAAAUUUUCAUAGUACAGACAUCAUUCGUGUACUGCAGAGUACAAAGCAUUUCUCCUACUAAAUAUAAAGGAUGGAAUCGAAUCGUACAUGCACUCAAGAGUGCCUUUUGGGCUUAAUCUAGUUAACAAAAUUUCUAAUGGGAGAAUAAUCUUUCUCAGAACGAGAUGUUGCUUAAUGUUAAGGAUGUCCACAACAAGGUUGAGGUAACAGGACAGAGCAGGGGAACAGGCAGAGCAUGGAUGGAGUCAUCAACACAAUAGAGCUAAGAAAGUGAGAGUGACAGAGAAAUCAUUUGUUGUGGUUCUGCUCAUGCACUGCCUCUUCCCUGGCUCUGUCUCCUUUUCUCCUUUCCUUAAUCCCCUUUUCAUUUAUUCACUCAUUAUGAUCUAUAUGCAAACUUCACAACAUACCAACAUUUCAAACAAGUUUUGUUUUGCAGGAAUGGACCAAAUCGAACAGAUUGGCAAACAAAAGAACCAGGAGUGACAUUAAAAGACAAGGCAACCACAGAGACACUUGUAACAAGGAGAAAGGCGGCUUUAUGUGGAAAUUUAUAGCCAAUAACUGAAACAUGAAAGAAGAACGGUGACAAAUCAUCCGCAGUUUUCUGUCCACGUUUUUCUUUCUUUCUUCUCCAACUUUCAACAUUUUACGUUGUAAGUAUGGUAGGUGAAUUUGGUGGCUUAAAUUUAACGUUGCUUUACCUUUC